UAGGGAAUCUUCGGCAAUGGACGAAAGUCUGACCGAGCAACGCCGCGUGAGUGAAGAAGGUUUUCGGAUCGUAAAACUCUGUUGUUAGAGAAGAACAAGGACGUUAGUAACUGAACGUCCCCUGACGGUAUCUAACCAGAAAGCCACGGCUAACUACGUGCCAGCAGCCGCGGUAAUACGUAGGUGGCAAGCGUUGUCCGGAUUUAUUGGGCGUAAAGCGAGCGCAGGCGGUUUCUUAAGUCUGAUGUGAAAGCCCCCGGCUCAACCGGGGAGGGUCAUUGGAAACUGGGCGACUUGAGUGCAGAAGAGGCGAGUGGAAUUCCAUGUGUAGCGGUGAAAUGCGUAGAUAUAUGGAGGAACACCAGUGGCGAAGGCGGCUCUCUGGUCUGUAACUGACGCUGAGGCUCGAAAGCGUGGGGAGCAAACAGG
Molecule: ribosomal RNA, 429 nt
Filed under: Gemmatimonadota bacterium
Lineage: Bacteria; Pseudomonadati; Gemmatimonadota
Description: Gemmatimonadetes bacterium partial 16S ribosomal RNA
Rfam family: Bacterial small subunit ribosomal RNA
Source: RNAcentral